AGUGCAUACAUCAUUGGAGACGGGUACAAAGAAUGGAGAGUUGUAAAAAAAUGAAAAAUAAAAAGCCGAGGAAUAAUUUGAAACACCCGGUUAGGAGGCUUAUGCGUGAUUCUUGUAUUCGUCUCGGUGUUGAGAAAUUCGUAACGUUCUGUGUUGGAUGAUGAGGAAAGAGAAAUAAACCAGAGAUCGUUUUGACAACCGUGAAAAUGUCGUUUUCACCGGGGAAAAAUUCUCUACUACCACUCGUCCAACGGGAGACACAUGCUAUUGCCAUUUCCGUCAUAAAAUUAUUGCCGGCUAUAAUAAUAAUCCCAGAAUAUUCAAACUGCAUUAUCUCGUCCUCGGGCGAUGGAAUCCGGGAAAUUUCCGAGGAAAUACGAAAAAUGGUGGACAGUUUGUUCCGGCGGUACGUGAGAUUUUCCAGAAACUGCGCUCAUCAAAAUAAAAUGUUCAUUACGAUUUUAAAAUCGUUAUUUCGCAGGAUUCAAGGA
Molecule: long non-coding RNA, 491 nt
Organism: Fopius arisanus
Lineage: Eukaryota; Metazoa; Arthropoda; Insecta; Hymenoptera; Braconidae
Exons: 3
Source: RefSeq, a predicted model, not a curated record